GACGAACGCUGGCGGCGUGCCUAAUACAUGCAAGUAGAACGCUGAAGGAGGAGCUUGCUUCUCCGGAUGAGUUGCGAACGGGUGAGUAACGCGUAGGUAACCUGCCUGGUAGCGGGGGAUAACUAUUGGAAACGAUAGCUAAUACCGCAUAACAGUAGAUAUUGCAUGAUAUCUGCUUGAAAGGUGCAAUUGCAUCACUACCAGAUGGACCUGCGUUGUAUUAGCUAGUUGGUGAGGUAACGGCUCACCAAGGCGACGAUACAUAGCCGACCUGAGAGGGUGAUCGGCCACACUGGGACUGAGACACGGCCCAGACUCCUACGGGAGGCAGCAGUAGGGAAUCUUCGGCAAUGGACGGAAGUCUGACCGAGCAACGCCGCGUGAGUGAAGAAGGUUGUCGGAUCGUAAAGCUCUGUUGUAAGAGAAGAACGAGUGUGAGAGUGGAAAGUUCACACUGUGACGGUAGCUUACCAGAAAGGGACGGCUAACUACGUG
This 495-nucleotide ribosomal RNA is filed under the name uncultured bacterium. RNAcentral's name for it is "partial 16S ribosomal RNA". It matches the Rfam family "Bacterial small subunit ribosomal RNA", at positions 28 to 507 of the family's 1533-position model. The record is from RNAcentral.